This 72-nucleotide transfer RNA is filed under the name Camelus bactrianus (Bactrian camel). It matches the Rfam family "tRNA". Rfam says of the family: Transfer RNA (tRNA) molecules are approximately 80 nucleotides in length. Their secondary structure includes four short double-helical elements and three loops (D, anti-codon, and T loops). Further hydrogen bonds mediate the characteristic L-shaped molecular structure. tRNAs have two regions of fundamental functional importance: the anti-codon, which is responsible for specific mRNA codon recognition, and the 3' end, to which the tRNAs corresponding amino acid is attached (by aminoacyl-tRNA synthetases). tRNAs cope with the degeneracy of the genetic code in two manners: having more than one tRNA (with a specific anti-codon) for a particular amino acid; and 'wobble' base-pairing, i.e. permitting non-standard base-pairing at the 3rd anti-codon position. RNAcentral also lists the same sequence under 2 other names. The record is from Rfam by way of RNAcentral. Lineage: Eukaryota; Metazoa; Chordata; Mammalia; Artiodactyla; Camelidae.
GGGGGUAUAGUUCAGUGAUAGAGUGCAUGCUUAGCAUGCACGAGGUUCUGGGUUCAAUCCCUAGUACCACCU